RNAcentral lists this ribosomal RNA (497 nucleotides) under uncultured bacterium. RNAcentral describes it as "partial 16S ribosomal RNA". It matches the Rfam family "Bacterial small subunit ribosomal RNA", at positions 28 to 507 of the family's 1533-position model. The record is from RNAcentral.
GAUGAACGCUGGCGGCGUGCCUAAUACAUGCAAGUCGAGCGAACGGACGAGAAGCUUGCUUCUCUGAUGUUAGCGGCGGACGGGUGAGUAACACGUGGAUAACCUACCUAUAAGACUGGGAUAACUUCGGGAAUCCGGAUCUAAUACCGGAUAAUAUUUUGAACCGCAUGGUUCAAAAGUGAAAGACGGUCUUGCUGUCACUUAUAGAUGGAUCCGCGCUGCAUUAGCUAGUUGGUAAGGUAACGGCUUACCAAGGCGACGAUGCAUAGCCGACCUGAGAGGGUGAUCAGCCACACUGGAACUGAGACACGGUCCAGACUCCUACGGGAGGCAGCAGUAGGGAAUAUUCCGCAAUGGGCGAAAGCCUGACGGAGCAACGCCGCGUGAGUGAAGAAGGUCUUCGGAUCGUAAAGCUCUGUUAUUAGGGAAGAACAUAUGUGUAAGUAACUGUGCACAUCUUGACGGUACCAAAACAGAAAGCCACGGCUAACUACGUG